Molecule: long non-coding RNA, 950 nt
Filed under: Gallus gallus (chicken)
Lineage: Eukaryota; Metazoa; Chordata; Aves; Galliformes; Phasianidae
Description: long non-coding RNA NONGGAT004249
Source: RNAcentral
GCAAUGCAUGCCACUCUGGUCAGCUUCUCACACAAUCCAUCCUGCCAAGAGGGACUUGUCCCGUCACCCACCGCCACCAGUUCCAUGGUCUGGGAUCUCAUUGCAAAGUGAAUAAGCAAACACCUGGAGGACAUAAGCUAAGCAUAGAAGUAGCUUUUGUAUUUGCCAGUACAUUUGUAGUAUAUAAAAAUAUCUAGGAAUUUUCCAAACAUGAGUGAGAUUAUUCAAAGAGUAAAUAGUAAACCAUGCACUGUAUAGUAAAAUAAGCCAAAUGUUCUCUUUUCUCUGAUUCUGUUCACUUUGGGGAAAAUCUGAAGACUAAGUGGGCAGAAGAGAGGAACCUGUGGACUGCUGCUAUCUGGGCUCUUGCACGAAUGACAAUGAAGCCAAAUGUACAGAUAUUAUCAGUUUCCUGCACUUCAACAGAAGGAUCAUCUAUGAUAUCACUUUAUCUUCUCUGCUUCACUGGCAUUCCCGAUGUACAGUUCUGAAAUGACCAUCUCUACACUUUCUUCCUUGACACAAUUUCAGCAAAAGAUAUCUGUUCCAGAAGCCUGAGAACAAUUUCCACACCUGAGAGAUCUGUCAGAUGGUAUCUAUAGACAGCUAAGGCGCUAUACUGUGCUGGCAGCUUAGGGUGAUUCCUGGAGGGGACAUUGUGAGGGACUCUUCUCUGGAGUACUGCCCAGCUCAACUCUCACUUUUUUUGAUACACCCGAAAAACUGUAAGUAAGAAAGCCACCAGGGAUAUUUGACUCACUGAGCAUUGCUGUUGCUGAUACCUGUGUUUUCAAAAGGACAGAUUUCUUGCUUUUAGUUUUGUGGAGCGUGUCAACAGUGCAAUAAUAAACAAGAGACAGAUGUCAGUCAUCAUAUGAAGCGAAUGCACUUGGUAAUGCACGUGCUGUAUAUCAUACUGUAUACCACAAAAACCACAGGAGAAAUUGACU